This 869-nucleotide ribosomal RNA is filed under the name uncultured Bacteroidota bacterium. Its description in RNAcentral is "bacterial SSU rRNA". It matches the Rfam family "Bacterial small subunit ribosomal RNA", at positions 60 to 935 of the family's 1533-position model. The record is from RNAcentral. Lineage: Bacteria; Pseudomonadati; Bacteroidota.
AGUCGAGGGGUAUAGUUCUUCGGAACUAGAGACCGGCGCACGGGUGCGUAACGCGUAUGCAAUCUACCUUUUACAGAGGGAUAGCCCAGAGAAAUUUGGAUUAAUGCCUCAUAGUAUGCAGAGUUGGCAUCAACAUUGCAUUAAAGUCACAACGGUAAAAGAUGAGCAUGCGUCCCAUUAGCUAGUUGGUAAGGUAACGGCUUACCAAGGCGACGAUGGGUAGGGGUCCUGAGAGGGAGAUCCCCCACACUGGUACUGAGACACGGACCAGACUCCUACGGGAGGCAGCAGUGAGGAAUAUUGGUCAAUGGACGCAAGUCUGAACCAGCCAUGCCGCGUGCAGGAUGACGGUCCUAUGGAUUGUAAACUGCUUUUGUACGAGAAGAAACCCUCCAACGUGUUGGAGCUUGACGGUAUCGUAAGAAUAAGGAUCGGCUAACUCCGUGCCAGCAGCCGCGGUAAUACGGAGGAUCCAAGCGUUAUCCGGAAUCAUUGGGUUUAAAGGGUCCGUAGGCGGUUUAGUAAGUCAGUGGUGAAAGCCCAUCGCUCAACGGUGGAACGGCCAUUGAUACUGCUAGACUUGAAUUAUUAGGAAGUAACUAGAAUAUGUAGUGUAGCGGUGAAAUGCUUAGAGAUUACAUGGAAUACCAAUUGCGAAGGCAGGUUACUACUAAUGGAUUGACGCUGAUGGACGAAAGCGUGGGUAGCGAACAGGAUUAGAUACCCUGGUAGUCCACGCCGUANACGAUGGAUACUAGCUGUUGGGAGCAAUCUCAGUGGCUAAGCGAAAGUGAUAAGUAUCCCACCUGGGGAGUACGUUUCGCAGAAUGAAACUCAAAGGAAUUGACGGGGGCCCGCACAAGCGGUGG